RNAcentral lists this transfer RNA (72 nucleotides) under Klebsormidium nitens. It matches the Rfam family "tRNA". From Rfam's summary of the family: Transfer RNA (tRNA) molecules are approximately 80 nucleotides in length. Their secondary structure includes four short double-helical elements and three loops (D, anti-codon, and T loops). The record is from Rfam by way of RNAcentral. Lineage: Eukaryota; Viridiplantae; Streptophyta; Klebsormidiophyceae; Klebsormidiales; Klebsormidiaceae.
GAGCCGGUAACUCAGUUGGUUAGAGUAUACGCCUGAUAAGCGUAAAGUCGGCUGUUCAAGUCCCUCGGCUCA